This 307-nucleotide ribosomal RNA is filed under the name Francisella tularensis subsp. holarctica. RNAcentral's name for it is "partial 16S ribosomal RNA". It matches the Rfam family "Bacterial small subunit ribosomal RNA", at positions 1224 to 1533 of the family's 1533-position model. The record is from RNAcentral. Lineage: Bacteria; Pseudomonadati; Pseudomonadota; Gammaproteobacteria; Thiotrichales; Francisellaceae.
GCUACAAUGGGUAUUACAGAGGGCUGCGAAGGUGCGAGCUGGAGCGAAACUCAAAAAGGUACUCUUAGUCCGGAUUGCAGUCUGCAACUCGACUGCAUGAAGUCGGAAUCGCUAGUAAUCGCAGGUCAGAAUACUGCGGUGAAUACGUUCCCGGGUCUUGUACACACCGCCCGUCACACCAUGGGAGUGGGUUGCUCCAGAAGUAGAUAGCUUAACGAAUGGGCGUUUACCACGGAGUGAUUCAUGACUGGGGUGAAGUCGUAACAAGGUAGCCGUAGGGGAACCUGCGGCUGGAUCACCUCCUUAA